RNAcentral lists this ribosomal RNA (468 nucleotides) under uncultured bacterium. RNAcentral describes it as "partial 16S ribosomal RNA". It matches the Rfam family "Bacterial small subunit ribosomal RNA", at positions 28 to 507 of the family's 1533-position model. The record is from RNAcentral.
GACGAACGCUGGCGGCGUGCUUAACACAUGCAAGUCGAACGGAAAGGCCCUGCUUUUGUGGGGUGCUCGAGUGGCGAACGGGUGAGUAACACGUGAGUAACCUGCCCUUGACUUUGGGAUAACGUCAGGAAACUGGGGCUAAUACCGGAUAGGAGCUCCUGCUGCUUGGUGGGGGUUGGAAAGUUUCGGCGGUUGGGGAUGGACUCGCGGCGUUUCAGCUUGUUGGUGGGGUAGUGGCUUACCAAGGUUUUGACGGAUAGCCGGCCUGCGAGGGUGACCGGCCACAUUGGGACUGAGGUACGGCCCAUAAUCCUACGGGAGGGAGAAGUGGGGAAUAGUGCACAAUGGACGGAAGCCUGAUGCAGCAACGCCGCGUGCGGGAUGACGGCCUUCGGGUUGUAGUCCGCUUUCGCAUGUUACGAAGCGUGAGUGACGGUAAUGGGUAAAGAAGCACCGGCUAACUACGUG